Molecule: small nucleolar RNA, 84 nt
Organism: Chlorocebus sabaeus (green monkey)
Lineage: Eukaryota; Metazoa; Chordata; Mammalia; Primates; Cercopithecidae
Product: small nucleolar RNA SNORD115
Source: RefSeq, a predicted model, not a curated record
GAUGCGAUGAGCAGACCUUAUAUUGUCUGAAGAGAGGUGAUGACAUAAAAAUCACUUACUCCAAUGGGGAUUGCGCUGAGGCCC